AUGUUUGUUCUUUCAAAAUACAAUAAUCCUAGUAGAACGCAUGGAAGAUACUCUGCAGGUGGAAAAGCAAUUAAGGAGGAAGAGCCAAGUGUCCUUAUUUCCGAACAGCCAAUUAAGAUAGGUGGUUCAAUUUCAAAAGCUGCAAUGGUUUGUAAUUUGUACAGACACCACGUUUUUUUUUCUGGACGAAGUUCAGACACCACGUUCGUUAGCAAAGAGCAAAGAGUUGCAUCAUUUCCAACCCUUUUUCUCUACCGACAGCAACCUUCUGCAUUUGAAUCCACAGACCAGACCUCUUUUUUAGGUACAGAAAGGGAAAAGCCCAGAAAAAGAGUACACAGACACUAG
This 348-nucleotide long non-coding RNA is filed under the name Prunus dulcis (almond). Its description in RNAcentral is "sRNA ncRNA". Lineage: Eukaryota; Viridiplantae; Streptophyta; Magnoliopsida; Rosales; Rosaceae. The record is from RNAcentral.